AUAAGCCUCAAAAGACAACCAGCAUAACUGAAUUUUCUUUUGGGAUGCACAUUUCCAAAUAUAUUCUGUUAUGAGAUUAAAAUUCAAGAUUAUUCAACGAUUCAAUGAUCAAAAUGAAAGUAUUUCUACUGGUUUAAAAAAAAAUUCCAGUUCUUUGUGGAUUCAGAAUCUAGGGUGAUGAUAAAAGAUUUUGUGACUAUUGAUCAAAUAUUGAUUUCCUGUAAAUCACUAGUUUUCCUGGAGAGUUACAAAUUUAUAAUCAGUAGGCAAGAAACAGAAUUUGAAGGAGCUGAAAGGGUCCAGGAGGUGGGGAGCAAUGUCUGAGCACUGCUGGUUUCAGUUCGGUGUAAGGAACUGGGGUUAGCAAGGUUAUUUCCGUUCAAUACAGAUGCAAGGCUUUUAGAGGCGGAAUAUGCCAGGGCCAGUGGAACCACUGUGACCGUUGAUUCGCAUACUUUAAUGUACAUGAGUCACUUGAGGAUCUCAUUAACAUCAGAUUUCAUUCAUUGAUUUGCGUAUAGGGUCUGAUAUUCUGCACUUCUAACAAGCUCUCAGGAGACACUGAUCCUGCUGGACCAUUUUGAGUAGCAAGAAUUUAGAACACUGAUCUGUUCUUUCAGUCUAGAAGUGAGAAGUGUGGCCAGGAGUCAGGGGGCCCAGGCUCUCUCAUCAAGUUGACUGAGACAGCUGGAUUGAUUUCAAUUCCAAAAAGAGUGGAAGAAACAAGAGAAGGCCUUGCUGGAUAACUUGGUCAUUCUGAAGAUUGAGCCAUCAAAGACAGCUCAAGUCAUCAUCAGGAGCCUGGUUGGAUUCACUAUAGGGUGACUUUGGAACCUAACAACACCUGAUAUUUGGGGAUCCAUAUAUGGAAACACCACAAUUAUAUUUUACU
This is a long non-coding RNA of Manis javanica (Malayan pangolin), 892 nucleotides long. RefSeq lists it as uncharacterized. Lineage: Eukaryota; Metazoa; Chordata; Mammalia; Pholidota; Manidae. The record is from RefSeq and is a predicted model, not a curated record.